GAAAUUUCCUUCGGGAAAUGGAUUAGCGGCGGACGGGUGAGUAACACGUGGGUAACCUGCCUCAUAGUGGGGGAUAGCCUUCCGAAAGGGAGAUUAAUACCGCAUAACAUCAUUAGAUGGCAUCAUUUAGUGAUCAAAGGAUUUAUUCGCUAUGAGAUGGACCCGCGUCGCAUUAGCUAGUUGGUAGGGUAAUGGCUUACCAAGGCGACGAUGCGUAGCCGACCUGAGAGGGUGAUCGGCCACAUUGGGACUGAGACACGGCCCAGACUCCUACGGGAGGCAGCAGUGGGGAAUAUUGCACAAUGGGGGAAACCCUGAUGCAGCAACGCCGCGUGAGUGAUGACGGUCUUCGGAUUGUAAAGCUCUGUCUUUGGGGAC
This 378-nucleotide ribosomal RNA is filed under the name uncultured bacterium. RNAcentral's name for it is "bacterial SSU rRNA". It matches the Rfam family "Bacterial small subunit ribosomal RNA", at positions 70 to 446 of the family's 1533-position model. The record is from RNAcentral.